Molecule: long non-coding RNA, 1056 nt
Organism: Homo sapiens (human)
Lineage: Eukaryota; Metazoa; Chordata; Mammalia; Primates; Hominidae
Product: long intergenic non-protein coding RNA 1837
Source: Ensembl
ACAGCAGCAGCAGCAGUUCAGCUGGCAGAGGUGUGCUCUUGAACCACUCUUCACAUGUCCAUAUUAUCUUCUGGGUAUUCUCCUGAGCUCAGAGGCACCAGGGCCCCAGCGAAGUCACCUCCCUGUUCUCUCUCUUCUUCCUCCUGGCCCCAGGUGCUGUUGCUGAGCUGGGAGUGGAAAGCACAUUUUCUCUUCAUGAUAGAUGGUGUACCUGCACGUGGGAAGGAAUAUUCCUGAUUUCCACUGGAUGACUUUGACUGGUAUGAUUUCAUUCUCUGAAAGUGUUAACCAGGGUGCAGCAUGGCCAGAAACCAUUCCGAGCCUCAUGAAGUGGGCAAGUCAGGUUUGGUCAUUUUUGGUAAUGUCAUUGCAUGUACACAGUUUAAGACAGAGCAUCUGGUGAUUCUCGGACCUUCAAGCAAGUGUCACAUCUCAGGGUGUGAGGUUUGGAGGGCCUCUCGUCAAAACUUUGGAGGGCUCUGUCAGUUUGAAAAGAACAUGACCUUUAAAUUGUAUCAGUAUGUUUGCUGGUGCAUAAGGGAGAGGAAAAGGUUCGUCCUGAUGGAAAACCACUCAGAAGCCAAGGAGUAAUUCAGAGGGAACCAGCCCAGGAAGAAUCAAGAAAGCUGCCCACAGUGUCAUUCUUCAGCUGAGAAAAGAGAGAGUUGACUAACUCCUCGGACUGGAGUGAGGACUCACAGAGGUGGUGAGAAGCCAUCCUCUCUUGAAUGGGGGCUCCCACUGUACAUCUGGCACCCACUUCACAGAUUCUGGGGGAUGUCAACACCAGCACUGCUGAGCUGUGUGACCUUGAGCAAGACAGUUAGCCUCUCUGAACCUCAGUGUCCUUCUCUGUAGGCUGGAGAUUGAUAUACCUUCAUUAUCGGGGUAUGAGAGUGUUAUAAAUCCAUGAACUGGAAGAUGCUUUCUUAUAACUCAGAGAAAAGAGAUGAAAAUGAAUCAAAGAACAGGAAGGAGACAAGCUCAGGAGGUAAGUCCAGAAAAUUCAAAUCACAUGCGCUAGAAAUUCCAGAAGGAAAUAGCAGAGCAGACCAA